CUUCCAGACUCCUACGGGAGGCAGUGGGGGAUAUUGCACAAUGGGGGAAACCCUGAUGCAGCGACGCCGCGUGUGGGAAGACGGUCCCCUGGAUUGUAAACCACUGUCCCCAGGGACGAAGAUGACGGUACCUGGGGAGGAAGCUCCGGCUAACUACGUGCCAGCAGCCGCGGUAAUACGUAGGGAGCGAGCGUUGUCCGGAAUUACUGGGUGUAAAGGGAGCGUAGGCGGGACUGCAAGUUGGGUGUCAAAUCUACCGGCUCAACCGGUAGCCGCACUCAAAACUGCAGUUCUUGAGUGAAGUAGAGGCAGGCGGAAUUCCUAGUGUAGCGGUGAAAUGCGUAGAUAUUAGGAGGGACACCAGUGGCGAAGGCGGCCUGCUGGGCUUUUACUGACGCUGAGGCUCGAAAGUGUGGGGAGCAAACAGGAUUAGAUACCCCCGUACUC
This 447-nucleotide ribosomal RNA is filed under the name uncultured bacterium. RNAcentral's name for it is "partial 16S ribosomal RNA". It matches the Rfam family "Bacterial small subunit ribosomal RNA", at positions 328 to 795 of the family's 1533-position model. The record is from RNAcentral.